UCAGAGGGAGGUAGAAUNCCACGUGUAGCAGUGAAAUGCGUAGAGAUGUGGAGGAAUACCGAUGGCGAAGGCAGCCUCCUGGGAUAACACUGACGUUCAUGCCCGAAAGCGUGGGUAGCAAACAGGAUUAGAUACCCUGGUAGUCCACGCCCUAAACGAUGUCGAUUAGCUGUUGGGCAGCAUGACUGCUUGGUAGCGAAGCUAACGCGUGAAAUCGACCGCCUGGGGAGUACGGUCGCAAGAUUAAAACUCAAAGGAAUUGACGGGGACCCGCACAAGCGGUGGAUGAUGUGGAUUAAUUCGAUGCAACGCGAAGAACCUUACCUGGUCUUGACAUGUACGGAACCCUUCAGAGACGGAGGGGUGCCCUCGGGAGCCGUAACACAGGUGCUGCAUGGCUGUCGUCAGCUCGUGUCGUGAGAUGUUGGGUUAAGUCCCGCAACGAGCGCAACCCUUGUCAUUAGUUGCCAUCAUUAAGUUGGGCACUCUAAUGAGACUGCCGGUGACAAGCCGGAGGAAGGUGGGGAUGACGUCAAGUCCUCAUGGCCCUUAUGACCAGGGCUUCACACGUCAUACAAUGGUCGGUACAGAGGGUAGCCAAGCCGCGAGGUGGAGCCAAUCUCACAAAACCGAUCGUAGUCCGGAUUGCACUCUGCAACUCGAGUGCAUGAAGUCGGAAUCGCUAGUAAUCGCAGGUCAGCAUACUGCGGUGAAUACGUUCCCGGGUCUUGUACACACCGCCCGUCACACCAUGGGAGUGGGGGAUACCAGAAGUAGGUAGGGUAACCGCAAGGAGCC
RNAcentral lists this ribosomal RNA (798 nucleotides) under uncultured bacterium. RNAcentral describes it as "bacterial SSU rRNA". It matches the Rfam family "Bacterial small subunit ribosomal RNA", at positions 651 to 1450 of the family's 1533-position model. The record is from RNAcentral.